Molecule: ribosomal RNA, 253 nt
Filed under: uncultured bacterium
Lineage: Bacteria
Description: partial 16S ribosomal RNA
Rfam family: Bacterial small subunit ribosomal RNA
Source: RNAcentral
UACAGAGGUCUCAAGCGUUGUUCGGAUUCAUUGGGCGUAAAGGGUGCGUAGGCGGCGCAGUAAGUCGGGUGUGAAAUUUCGGAGCUUAACUCCGAAACUGCAUUCGAUACUGCGGUGCUUGAGGACUGGAGAGGAGACUGGAAUUCAUGGUGUAGCAGUGAAAUGCGUAGAGAUCAUGAGGAAGACCAGUGGCGAAGGCGGGUCUCUGGACAGUUCCUGACACUGAGACACGAAGGCCAGGGGAGCAAACGGG